RNAcentral lists this unclassified non-coding RNA (374 nucleotides) under uncultured Pseudobdellovibrionaceae bacterium. RNAcentral's name for it is "uncultured Bdellovibrionaceae bacterium contains 16S-23S intergenic spacer region". The record is from RNAcentral. Lineage: Bacteria; Pseudomonadati; Bdellovibrionota; Bdellovibrionia; Bdellovibrionales; Pseudobdellovibrionaceae.
UCCGGUUUGUCACCGGUAGUCUCCGAUGAGUCCCCAACUGAAUGCUGGCAACAUCGGACGGGGGUUGCGCUCGUUGCGGGACUUAACCCAACAUCUCACGACACGAGCUGACGACAGCCAUGCAGCACCUAUGCAGCGGCCCGAAGGCGACAACAUCUCUGCUGUCUUCCACUGCAUUUCGAGCCCAGGUAAGGUUUUUCGCGUUGCAUCGAAUUAAACCACAUGCUCCACCGCUUGUGCGGGCCCCCGUCAAUUUCUUUGAGUUUUAACCUUGCGGCCGUACUCCCCAGGCGGGGUACUUAUCGCGUUAGCUUCGGCACUGAAGGGGUCAAUACCUCCAACACCAAGUACCCAUCGUUUACGGCGUGGACUAC